AAAAAGAUGUAAAAUUGGUUGAUGUUUUCGCCACGACGAUUCGAAAUGAAACGAAGACAUGAGAAGAAGCGAAGGUCCUCGUAGAGGUGAAUGAGGAUUUUACCACUAUGGACAUUUGAACAGUAUGCAGAAGAAGACGGAUCUGGAACUAGAAAGCAAGGCUCUGACUGGUCUACUACAGCAAGGAAUGUGCCAGCGGCCAAUCUGAUGAACAUGUGACAGAAGAUUUGGCAAUGGGUGAAGAAAUACUGAGAUUGAAAUGCAACCACAGGUGGAGGCUUCAACCAAACUUUUCAGACAGACAUGAGAUACAAAGUUACACAAGUAUAAAUGGUUGAAGGUUUAGGAGAGCCAGACAAGAAGGCAGGAAAUGUGAUGUCACUUUUACUUCAAUGAACAUGGACAGCAGCAGGAGCAACAACAGCAUCAGCAGCUGAAACUACAACUGCAGUAAUAGAUGCAACAACCACACCGACAACAUCAACAGCAGCAGGAGCUCCAACAACCAUGCAGAGAACAUCGGGCGCAACAUAAAUAACUUCAUCAAGAGAUGCAACAACCACAGUGGUAAACAUCAACAGCAGUAGCAACAACGACAGUAGAAACAAAGCCAACAGCAAGGAUUCUAACAAGCAAUCAUACAAGCAACAACACAAGCGACAACAUCAAUAGAUGCAUCAGGAGAUGCAACAGCCACACUCGUAAACAGCAGCAGUAGCAGCGAUGACAACAGCAACCACACAGGCAACACCUUGAGCAACAUCAGUAGCAAAAAUAACUAAUUGCACCAGGAGAUGCAACAACCACACCCACAACACCAAGAGCAGCAAAAACAAACAGCAAUUCCAGCAAUCACGAUGACAACAGCAGCAGCAACACCAACAACACUAAUGAACAUUGAAAAAACUUGUACAAAAGUCAAUGAGGUCGCAUUUUUCAGACAUUAUCAGACAUUAUUGAUUAAAAAAUGCACAAUGAUUUAUUUGGGUUAAAGAAAAUUAUGUUUGAAAAAAUGUGUACAUUUGAAGAUGUUUCCUAUGUAUUGAUUGAUAUAAUAUAGUUUUAAAGAUGAAAAUAUUA
Molecule: long non-coding RNA, 1080 nt
Organism: Lytechinus pictus (painted urchin)
Lineage: Eukaryota; Metazoa; Echinodermata; Echinoidea; Temnopleuroida; Toxopneustidae
Exons: 4
Source: RefSeq, a predicted model, not a curated record